UACGGAGGGGGCUAGCGUUGUUCGGAAUUACUGGGCGUAAAGCGCGCGUAGGCGGGCUGGCCAGUUGGGGGUGAAAUCCCGGGGCUUAACCCCGGAACUGCCCUCAAUACUGCCAGUCUAGAGUUCGAGAGAGGUGAGUGGAAUUCCUAGUGUAGAGGUGAAAUUCGUAGAUAUUAGGAAGAACACCAGUGGCGAAGGCGGCUCACUGGCUCGCAACUGACGCUGAGGCGCGAAAGCGUGGGGAGCAAACAGG
Molecule: unclassified non-coding RNA, 253 nt
Filed under: uncultured Alphaproteobacteria bacterium
Lineage: Bacteria; Pseudomonadati; Pseudomonadota; Alphaproteobacteria
Description: contains 16S-23S intergenic spacer region
Rfam family: Bacterial small subunit ribosomal RNA
Source: RNAcentral